GACGAACGCUGGCGGCGCGCUUAACACAUGCGAGUCGAACGGAAAGGCCUGCUUUCCCUUGUGGAUUGCGGGUACUCGAGUGGCGAACGGGUGAGUAACACGUGAGUGAUCUGCCCCCAACUUGGGUAUAAGCCUGGGAAACUGGGUCUAAUUCCCGAUAGGACUGCAGGGUGGUGCCUGUGGUGGAAAACGAUUUUCUAGUGGUUGGGGAUGAGCUCGCGGCCUAUCAGCUUGUUGGUGGGGUAAUGGCCUACCAAGGCGGCGACGGGUAGCCGGCCUGGGAGGGAGGACGGCCACAUUGGGGCUGAGAGACGGCCCAGACUCCUACGGGGGGCAGCAGUGGGGAAUAGUGCACAAUGGGCGGAAGCCUGAUGCAGCGACGCCGCGUGGGGGAUGACGGCCUUCGGGUUGUAAACUCCUUUCGACCGCGAGGAAGCCACCUGGUUGGAAGGGUGGUGACGGUAGUGGGAGAAGAAGCACCGGCUAACUACGUG
This 494-nucleotide ribosomal RNA is filed under the name uncultured bacterium. Its description in RNAcentral is "partial 16S ribosomal RNA". It matches the Rfam family "Bacterial small subunit ribosomal RNA", at positions 28 to 507 of the family's 1533-position model. The record is from RNAcentral.